This 545-nucleotide ribosomal RNA is filed under the name uncultured bacterium. Its description in RNAcentral is "bacterial SSU rRNA". It matches the Rfam family "Bacterial small subunit ribosomal RNA", at positions 54 to 586 of the family's 1533-position model. The record is from RNAcentral.
CAUGCAAGUCGAGGGGAAACGACAUCGAAAGCUUGCUUUUGAUGGGCGUCGACCGGCGCACGGGUGAGUAACGCGUAUCCAACCUGCCCACCACUUGGGGAUAACCUUGCGAAAGUAAGACUAAUACCCAAUGAUAUCUCUAGAAGACAUCUGAAAGAGAUUAAAGAUUUAUCGGUGAUGGAUGGGGAUGCGUCUGAUUAGCUUGUUGGCGGGGUAACGGCCCACCAAGGCGACGAUCAGUAGGGGUUCUGAGAGGAAGGUCCCCCACAUUGGAACUGAGACACGGUCCAAACUCCUACGGGAGGCAGCAGUGAGGAAUAUUGGUCAAUGGACGAGAGUCUGAACCAGCCAAGUAGCGUGCAGGAAGACGGCCCUAUGGGUUGUAAACUGCUUUUAUAAGGGAAUAAAGUGAGUCUCGUGAGACUUUUUGCAUGUACCUUAUGAAUAAGGACCGGCUAAUUCCGUGCCAGCAGCCGCGGUAAUACGGAGGGUCCGGGCGUUAUCCGGAUUUAUUGGGUUUAAAGGGAGCGUAGGCCGGAGAUUAA